Anolis sagrei ordinatus is the source of this 434-nucleotide non-coding RNA. The record is from the annotation of a RefSeq genome assembly. Lineage: Eukaryota; Metazoa; Chordata; Lepidosauria; Squamata; Anolidae.
AGGGAAAGUCUCAGACAGCCCUCAUUUUCCUCCUGAGAGUAAACUCAUUUUGGAAGUUCACCAUGGCCUAUGCUCUGCUGUGCUUGUCAUUGUUUGGUUGUUGGGCAGGUGUCCGUUCACAGGGAAUGGUGACUCAACCUCCCUUUGCGUCUGUGUCCCAGGGAGAAACAAUUAAACUUUCUUGCUCCAAAAGUAGUGACAACUGGUACCAGUAUACUAGCUGGGUUCAACAGAAGUCCAGAGAGGCCCCCCGUUUUGUGCACUGCAAUGGCUGCAGCAGCAGGGGACCAGGGAUCCCAGAUCGGUUCACGGCAUCUGUUUCUGGGAACGAUGCCUAUUUAACCAUCACAAACAUUCAAGCUGAAGAUGAGGCCAAUUAUUACUGUAUUGCUUGGUCGAACAGUGCUAACGUGUGUCACAGUGCUUUAAUCUGA